GACGAACGCUGGCGGCGUGCUUAACACAUGCAAGUCGAACGGAAAGGCCCUGCUUUUGUGGGGUGCUCGAGUGGCGAACGGGUGAGGAACAGGUGAGUAACCUGCCCUUGACUUUGGGAUGACUUCAGGAAACUGGGGCUAAUACCGGAUAGGAGCUCCUGUUGGAGGGUGGGGGGGGGAAAGUUUGGGCGGGUGGGGAUGGACUCGCGGCUUAUCAGCUUGUUGGUGGGGGAGUGGCUUCCCAAGGGUUUGGCGGGUAGGCGGCCUGGGAGGGUGAACGGGCCCAUUGGGACUGAGAUACGGCCCAGAGUCCUACGGGAGGCAGCAGUGGGGAAUAUUGCACAAUGGGCGGAAGCCUGAUGCAGCAACGCCGCGUGCGGGAUGACGGCCUUCGGGUUGUAAACCGCUUUCGCCUGUGACGAAGCGUGAGUGACGGUAAUGGGUAAAGAAGCACCGGCUAACUACGUG
RNAcentral lists this ribosomal RNA (468 nucleotides) under uncultured bacterium. RNAcentral describes it as "partial 16S ribosomal RNA". It matches the Rfam family "Bacterial small subunit ribosomal RNA", at positions 28 to 507 of the family's 1533-position model. The record is from RNAcentral.